This 575-nucleotide long non-coding RNA is filed under the name Androctonus crassicauda. The record is from RNAcentral. Lineage: Eukaryota; Metazoa; Arthropoda; Arachnida; Scorpiones; Buthidae.
GAAAUAGCUAAAAAAUAUGGAUGAUAUUGGCACCCAAAAGAAAUAAAACUUUAUUUUCUACACUUAGAAAUGAUAAAAAGCCAAAAUGACAACAAAUCGGGAGUAUAUAAAGUUCCUAUCUAUAAUAAGACUUUAGGUCAGCAAGAAGAAUAUCAGGAUAAUGAUUAGAAAUCUCUUACAAAAGAUCAUUGACCAUCAGCAAGAUAUGAAUCCCUGUUUAAAUACAUCUCUGGCUAAAAGGUUUUAUGAAUACAAUCUGGACAUAAAUUGGAAGAAGCAGAAAUCAUAAGAAUAGGUGUUAAGCAGAAGCAUGUAUAUCUACAAGAAUCAUUAUUUUAUAGUUUUGAGCAGAAAGGAGACUACACAUGAACCUCAUAAAUGAACAAGCUAGUAAACCGUUCUCUAAUGCAUGGAGUUGUGGAAUUGACCAUAAGUUACAAACUUUUAAUGCUGAAAUUAUCAUUAUUUUUGUCAAUAUGUCCAUGUUUAAUAAUUUAUUUAUAAUAUUUUUUCUUAUUAAUAAUAUAUUUUUAUUACUCUCUGAAAUAUUUAUAACUUUUUCUGUAAAAAGCAAC